RNAcentral lists this ribosomal RNA (42 nucleotides) under Isthmohyla pseudopuma (Gunter's Costa Rican treefrog). Its description in RNAcentral is "partial 12S ribosomal RNA". The record is from RNAcentral. Lineage: Eukaryota; Metazoa; Chordata; Amphibia; Anura; Hylidae.
AAGUCGUAACAUGGUAAGCGCACCGGAAGGUGUGCUUGGAAA